This 1065-nucleotide long non-coding RNA is filed under the name Polistes fuscatus (common paper wasp). Its description in RNAcentral is "uncharacterized LOC122519763". The record is from RNAcentral. Lineage: Eukaryota; Metazoa; Arthropoda; Insecta; Hymenoptera; Vespidae.
AAAAAAAAAAUUCAAAAAACCAAUAAACAGUAACCUGUUAUCGAAAAAAAAUAGACAAUCGAGAGGGUCAAAAGUUGAAACGUUUUCGGAUUUCCGGGAGGAUCCGUCAGACGAUGUAGAGAAAUUGCAUUUCCGAGUUUUCCCCCUCCACCUUUCCUCCCUCUUCCCUUCUUCCAUGUGUGCACACACACACGUAUAUCAAUAUAAUAGUUACAUACGUGCGGGUGGCUGUGUGCCACGUGGUGGUCCAUGUUCCUCUAUUCCAGAAUUUCGGGUCUCGGCCACCAGGUGGCAGCACAGCAGCUAACCGGUCGAAACUCGGAAUGAGGAGGUUCAGUAUUGCGCCGGCCGUUCAUCUCGUAAGUUGCUUGUCAGAUUUUUCGUGGUUAGCUGCUAGUGAGCUACGCCCCCCUCAAGGGAGGAAUCCUACGGAAGGGUAGUGUAAAAAGAAAAAAGAAGAAGAUACACGGAAGGAAAGAAGGCGUAGCAUCCCCCAUCAUCAAUUGGAAGAAAAGAGGGAUGUUUUCUUUUUAAACAUCGAACGCAAUAAACACUUUUCACCCUAGUGGGAAUAAUAUCAAAAUUCGAGAUAAGGAUCUUGUCACAAGGCUGCGGAGAAAUUCAAGGAGCUAUCUUUUUGGCAUUUGUGGCUAACGUUUGGUUGCUUCCUUGUUUCCUUGCUUGCUAGCUAGUUAUCUACCUACCUACGCAAUUACAUCGAGCGAACAUCAUCUUCGUGGGUGGUGAAAUCUCAUUAGAACUACCCGUAACAUUUGAAGAAGAAGAAGAAGAAGAAUUUCUUGGAUGAGAUUAAACUUGAUGAUAAUUAUAAGAAUUCAAAGAUAGACUAUAUUGCAUAUGUGUGUUUGUGUGUGUGUGUGUGUGCGUCUCUGUGGUAUCGAUAAUCGUUUGACGAAAGUUAAAUUUAGGUGAUAUAUACGUAAAUAAACGCUUCAUCAAUUUUUAUUAAAGAUCUUAAUCAACAUUAAGAAACAAUAAAGUGACACAAAGUGUUCGUAGAAAAGCAAAUCUCAUAAUCGAGAUAACGAAUAGAACAAUCUAUAA